UAACUAAACCAAAAAAAAAAAAAAUACCACAAACAACAAAGACAGACGUUGCCUGCCAAUGGUACACUACACACUCGUUCUGUUUUUUUUCGCAUCAAUCUAUUUUUAACACUCGUGGAAUUUUAGACAGCAGGAA
Molecule: non-coding RNA, 136 nt
Filed under: Platyophrya macrostoma
Lineage: Eukaryota; Ciliophora; Colpodea; Cyrtolophosidida; Platyophryidae
Source: RNAcentral